Molecule: long non-coding RNA, 920 nt
Filed under: Linum usitatissimum (flax)
Lineage: Eukaryota; Viridiplantae; Streptophyta; Magnoliopsida; Malpighiales; Linaceae
Description: long non-coding RNA (LUSI_LNC007133)
Source: RNAcentral
UAUCAUGUAGACCUGGCAGCACUCGGAUUCAUAUCCGGCGGUGAUCAUAGCUUCCCCAAUUUUCCUCAAAUUGGUCACCACUUCCUCCUCGUAACCAGGGUAAGGAGAUUCGUAUUGAUCCUCUUGAUCAUUUUUAGAUUCUGAUUCUGGCAGUGGGCUAUGAUAUUCCUCACCUCCUUCCGGAUUUCCGCCUUGAGCAGGCGAAUCAGGUUCGACCGGCUUCGACUGUUCUUCAAGGAGGUACCUGAACUCAUCCUCCAAGUAUACCAUCGCUUUGUGAUGGAUAAAUCCGAUUCGGUUGGCAAGUGGGGCGUGAACUGGAUCUGAUUUGAAGUAGCCGCUGAAGGAAGUUGUCAACCUGGUGAGGCGACUAACCAUCACCAGAAAUGCUGAGUCGUGAUCAGGGGAUUUACACCAUUUACCUCCUUUCCUAUCAUCUUGAUCAUCCGAGUCGCGUUCGGUUAUCUUCGCCUCGACGAGAUCCACGAACUUGUUGAUGAAUUCUGGCAUCUCAAUUGAAUAGAUCUUCUUCUCGCUCUCUGACUUCUUAUCCACAUCCUCCUCUUUCUUCUCAUUUUCAUUCUCCUUCUCAUGCUCAUUCUCAUUUUCCUUUUCAGGUUCGGAAUCUUCAGACUUCUUUUCUCCAUCUUUGAUUUCGUCACCUACAGCUUUCUCGCCCUGAUCAGUAAGAUCUUCAUUCUUAUUUUUAUCUCCAUCUCCUUUAUCAACAAUGACUUCUUGGUUUUGUUGGGCGGAUAUUUCUUGAUAGAAUUCUAUCAUUUUUUCGGGUAGAGAAGACAAAAAUUGAUCGAUGUUAGGGGAAAGCGUUUCCAGCGUUAUGUGGAUUUCUUCAGGAUGAGGAGGAGAGGAAAUGUCUUCGUUUUGUUCCGCCGGUUUGGAGUCAGGAUCUGUUUCGGAGU